AUCCAGCUGACGAGUGCAAAACAGGACGAAAUGCACUUCCUGGAU
This is a non-coding RNA of Schistosoma mansoni, 45 nucleotides long. The record is from Rfam. NCBI's taxonomy places the organism in Eukaryota, Metazoa, Platyhelminthes, Trematoda, Strigeidida, Schistosomatidae.